UUUGUAUAGUAUCCUAAGGCAGGAGCUAAAUGACUUCAUAGGACUUAGUUAUCUGCAGCUGUGCAUCAUCACCCUCCAGACUGAGGCUGUUCGUUUUCCUUCACAUGUUAUACAAGAUUACUCAGACUAACUCUUUCAUACCACCUGGCACCUGAUCAGGCUCCCUAAAAAGACAGCUGUGGUAGCCAUAAAUGGACGCCAUAUGCCACGCAGUGAGGAGUCAGAAAUGCUGCUCAUGUGGCGUGGAAACCUUCAGGUUUGACGGAUGGAUGGGGUUAGGGUGAUUGUAAAAGGUGUGGUCGUCAAUGUCCUCACAGAGAAGAUGAAACUGCACACGUCCCAAAUGUUGAAAGGGCGACUUCUGUGCCAAACGUGAUGGGAAAAUGUACUCUUCAGAGGUCGCAUUGAGUUUGUAACAGCUUAUUGUGACACCAUUAAUAAACAUACUUUCAACUGA
Long non-coding RNA from Oryzias melastigma (Indian medaka), 457 nucleotides. RefSeq lists it as uncharacterized. Lineage: Eukaryota; Metazoa; Chordata; Actinopteri; Beloniformes; Adrianichthyidae. The record is from RefSeq and is a predicted model, not a curated record. The transcript is spliced from 3 exons.